Molecule: ribosomal RNA, 776 nt
Filed under: uncultured Neocallimastigales
Lineage: Eukaryota; Fungi; Neocallimastigomycota; Neocallimastigomycetes; Neocallimastigales
Description: partial large subunit ribosomal RNA
Rfam family: Eukaryotic large subunit ribosomal RNA
Source: RNAcentral
UUAUGUGAUCGUCUCUCGCAUAUCAAUAAGCGGAGGAAAAGAAACUAACAAGGAUUCCCCUAGUAACGGCGAGUGAAGCGGGAAGAGCUCAAAUUUGAAAUCUUAAAGGGUUUCCCUUUACGAAUUGUAGUUUAAAGAAGUGUUUUCUGUUGAGGUUUUGGUAAAAGUUCUUUGGAAUAGGACAUCAUAGAGGGUGAGAAUCCCGUAUUUGACCUUUACUUUCAACUUUGUGAUACACUUUCAAAGAGUCGGAUUGUUUGGGAAUGCAGUCCAAAAUGGGUGGUAAAUUUCAUCUAAAGCUAAAUAUUGGCGAGAGACCGAUAGCGAACAAGUACCGUGAGGGAAAGAUGAAAAGAACUUUGAAAAGAGAGUUAAACAGUACGUGAAAUUGUCAGAAAGGGAAGCGUUUGACACCAGUGUUGUUUUUCUGAAAAUCAAUUAAAGAACUGUUUAUGCUAAGUUGUUUAGACUUUAUCAGCUAUCUGUUUAGUUUUGAGCUUUUCUUUAAUGCACUUUUCAGUUAACAAGUCAACAUCAAUUUCUUUUGCUGUAAAAAAGCUUGAGGAAGGUGGCUUGAGAUUCGUCUUAAGUGUUUAUAGCCUCUUGCCUAUGCAGUCGGAGAGAUUGAGGUCUGCAGCGUAGAUCCUUCGGGGCUAAAUGCAUUUGUGCUAAGUUAUAGCAUUUUAUAGACAACUUGUUGACUAUGAUUUGUCUUGUAGCUUACUCGCUUAUGUUAUUUUACCUACGCUUAGGAUGUUGAUAUGCAUGACUGAUAU